Sphaeramia orbicularis (orbiculate cardinalfish) is the source of this 120-nucleotide long non-coding RNA. RefSeq lists it as uncharacterized. The transcript has 3 exons. The record is from RefSeq and is a predicted model, not a curated record. Lineage: Eukaryota; Metazoa; Chordata; Actinopteri; Kurtiformes; Apogonidae.
CAUGGAGGACCGCAUUUCUACUUCCAGGACUUCAGGAAUCUGCUGCUAACGUCUUACUCCAGAUGCCACAGCACAUCUUCAGAGGUCUGGUGGAGUCUACAGGUGGGUUAGAGGAAACAA